This 73-nucleotide transfer RNA is filed under the name Planctomycetota bacterium. RNAcentral describes it as "Planctomycetes bacterium tRNA-Ala". It matches the Rfam family "tRNA". From Rfam's summary of the family: Transfer RNA (tRNA) molecules are approximately 80 nucleotides in length. Their secondary structure includes four short double-helical elements and three loops (D, anti-codon, and T loops). The record is from RNAcentral. Lineage: Bacteria; Pseudomonadati; Planctomycetota. RNAcentral also lists the same sequence under 1 other name.
GGGGACGUAGCUCAAUUGGCAGAGCACCGCGUUUGCAACGCGGGGGUUGAGGGUUCGAGUCCCUCCGUCUCCA